RNAcentral lists this ribosomal RNA (973 nucleotides) under uncultured Microgenomates group bacterium. Its description in RNAcentral is "bacterial SSU rRNA". It matches the Rfam family "Bacterial small subunit ribosomal RNA", at positions 509 to 1504 of the family's 1533-position model. The record is from RNAcentral.
CAGCCGCCGCGGUAAUACGAAGGUGGCAAGCGUUAUCCGGAAUAAUUGGGCGUAAAGCGUCCGCAGACGGUUUGAUAAGUCAUGGGUCAAAUCCUGAAGCUCAACUUCAGGGCCGCUCGUGAAACUAUCAAUCUAGAGACUGGAAGAGGUAAGCGGAAUUAUCGGUGUAGUGGUAAAAUGCGUUAAUAUCGAUAAGAACACCAAAUGCGAAGGCAGCUUACUGGUACAGUUCUGACGUUAAGGGACGAAAGCGUGGGGAGCGAAUGGGAUUAGAUACCCCAGUAGUCCACGCCGUAAACGAUGGGUACUAAGCAUUGGGAGUAUCGACCCUCUCAGUGUUGUUUAACUAAGCUAAUGCCUUAAGUACCCCGCCUGGGGAGUACGGCCGCAAGGCUAAAACUCAAAGGAAUUGACGGGAGCCCGCACAAGCGGCGGAGCAUGCGGCUUAAUUCGAUGGUACCCGAAGAACCUUACCUGGACUUGACAUAAUGGGAAAAACCCUAGAGAUAGGGUGUGCGUAAGCGUCCAUUACAGGUGGUGCAUGGCUGUCGUCAGCUCGUGUCGUGAGGUGUUUGGUUAAGUCCAGUAACGAGCGCAACCCUUAUCCUAUGUUACUUUACGUAGGAGACUGCCCGGGUUUAACCGGGAGGAAGGUGGGGAUGACGUCAAAUCAGCAUGGCCCUUACGCCUUGGGCUACACACGUGCUACAAUGGCCAGUACAAUGGGUUGCAAAGCAGUAAUGCGAAGCUAAUCCCAUCAAAGCUGGUCUCAGUUCGGAUUGAGGUCUGCAAUUCGACCUCAUGAAGUUGGAAUUACUAGUAAACGCCAAUCAGCCAUAUGGCGUUGAAUACGUUCUCGGGUUUUGUACACACCGCCCGUCACACCAAGAGAGUCGGUAGUACCCGAAAGCUGACAUUAGUCGGAAUAAGGUAAGAUCGAUGAUAGGGGUGAAGUCGUAACAAGGUAGCCGUA